GGCCUGGCGGCACUUGUUGAGCGGUAUCAGCAGAUGAGCGCACUGGUCUCUGUAGGAGAUGGGCACCCUGGCCUCCACCAUCUCAGCCUGCGUUGCUAUCAUUGUCUUCGAUGAUCCCUCGACUUCCAUGAUUGGCUUGCAAAAUCGUUGCUGCUCUUUUCUCGCGUUCCAAAAGGCAGAAUUUCAGCUUAACUCUUCACUCUCUAUAGGCUAAUCUAAUCGUUUGCGUUAUUUGGC
This 237-nucleotide unclassified non-coding RNA is filed under the name Hevea brasiliensis (rubber tree). The record is from RNAcentral. Lineage: Eukaryota; Viridiplantae; Streptophyta; Magnoliopsida; Malpighiales; Euphorbiaceae.